This 451-nucleotide ribosomal RNA is filed under the name uncultured bacterium. RNAcentral describes it as "bacterial SSU rRNA". It matches the Rfam family "Bacterial small subunit ribosomal RNA", at positions 30 to 507 of the family's 1533-position model. The record is from RNAcentral.
AUUGAACGCUGGCGGCAUGCCUUACACAUGCAAGUCGAACGGUAGCAGACCUAGCUUGCUAGGUGCUGACGAGUGGCGGACGGGUGAGUAACGCGUGGGAAUCUGCCCAGUAGCGGGGGACAACUCGGGGAAACUCGAGCUAAUACCGCAUACGCCCUACGGGGGAAAGGCUUCGGCCACUAUUGGAUGAGCCCGCGUCGGAUUAGCUUGUUGGUGGGGUAAUGGCCUACCAAGGCGACGAUCCGUAGCUGGUCUGAGAGGAUGAUCAGCCACACUGGGACUGAGACACGGCCCAGACUCCUACGGGAGGCAGCAGUGGGGAAUAUUGGACAAUGGGCGAAAGCCUGAUCCAGCAAUGCCGCGUGUGUGAAGAAGGCCUGCGGGUUGUAAAGCACUUUCAGUAGGGAAGAUUAUGACGGUACCUACAGAAGAAGCACCGGCUAACUCCGUG